UUUUUUUCUUUUUUUUUUUUUGGGUUGAAUAAAACGUUUUGAUAUUCUUUAAUAUCAAACCCGCAGGUCCACCUCCCUUUCUACAAUAAUCAAACACAAAUCAGAAAACCCAAAUACCUUUUACACCGGUUCAAGAACCUUAAUAUACAGCUCCCCUCUUUUUCAUUAAAUGCUAUGGAAUUUGAAAUGGAUCUCUCGGGAUCAAUGAUGCAUGCUUUUGGGUUUUUCUGUAUCUUUAUACAGGAAGAGGUUUUUGGUCAGAAUCGUUCAUUAAACCCAUUCCACCACUUGUGGAUGAUAAGCAGCAGGCAUCUUCUCUAUUUAUUUACUCAGUAGGAUACACAAAUUGAAGUUCCUACUUUGAAUGUCAACUUAAGGCGCAGAUUUACUGAACCAUGGAAUUUUGGCAAGCCAACACAAACAUGUGAGAGUUGUGGGGCUAUUCUAUGCUAUGAAGAGAGGAAUGUCAAGUCAGGAAGAUCUUCACAACCAAAGUUUUCGUUGUGCUGUUUGGAAUGACUAAUUUAUUUACCUUUGUUAAAACAUGCACCUCCAGUUCUUGAAGAAUUGCUGAAUUAUGGUGGCCCUUCAUUUGUAAUAGUAUGUCUAAUACAUUUACAUUUUAUUGUAGCUAUCUGGUAUAACAAUGUCCAAAGGAUACAACUUUCUUAAUCAAAUAUGUGAUGCUAAGGAGACAUGGAGAUUUAGAGUGAGAAUGUGAAGAAUGUGGAAAGCAGUGAAUAAGAGAAGU
Molecule: long non-coding RNA, 751 nt
Organism: Quercus lobata
Lineage: Eukaryota; Viridiplantae; Streptophyta; Magnoliopsida; Fagales; Fagaceae
Exons: 3
Source: RefSeq, a predicted model, not a curated record